UGACUGCUUCUUCCACUUCUACCUCAGCUCCUCCACCACCACUCCUCCGCCGGAUUUCCUUCCUCCACCACCGUCGCCCCCGCCACCGCCACCGCCACUUCCGUCUAACUCUCACUGUUCCUCUUCUAUAUUUAUCUUAUCUUAUGUCUAUCUAUAUAUACCCCUAUAUAAACGCAAACAUUAACAUUGCCGCCUCUAUUACCCUAUACAUACUCUCUUCCUCUUCCUGUUCAUCUCCUUAUUUUCUCUCUCCAACAAAUGAAAAUUUUCCUCCUAUUUUCCCGGCGAGUCACCUUCUCCGCCGCCGCCGCCAGCACCGCCGUCAAUUUUCCUGAUUAUGAAUUUUCCUGAUCCCGGCGCCAUGAUGAAGGAGGCGGCGCAAUUAUUGUGCGGCGAGGAAAGGGAGGCGAAGAUGAAUGAGAGUGUAGGUGAUAGAAUUUCAGGUAUUCUGUAUAAGUGGGUGAAUUUGGGUAAACGUUGGCGUCGAAGGUGGUUUGUGUUGGAAGAUGGUGUUCUUUCAUAUUAUAAAAUACACGGACAUCAUAAAAUUGAUCUCAAUCUAGAGACUGAUAAACGAUCCACAGUCCUCGGUGAAGAUUCACUCCGCCUAAUUUCUCCUCGUCACAAUCACAAUAUUAUUAUUAAUGGUACCUCUCAGCUCCGGCCGAAGCCUGUUGGUCAAGUUCAUCUCAAGGUUUCAUCAAUACGGGAGAGCAGGUCAGAUGACAAGAGGUUUUUAAUUUUUACGGGUAGUAAGAGACUGCACUUGAGGGCCGAGACUCGAGAAGAUCGAGUGGCUUGGAUAGAUGCAUUGCAAGCUAUAAAAGACUUGUUCCCCAGGGUCUCUAACAGUGAACUAAUGGCUCCUGUGGACAAUGUUGUUGUGUCAACCGAGAAAUUGAGGCAGCUGUUAUUGGAAGAAGGUGUGAGUGAGGCAGCCAUCCAGGACAGUGAGCAAAUCAUGAGAAACGAGUUUGCUGCGCUGCAGAAUCAACUUAUGCUGCUCAAAGAGAAGCAUUGGCUCCUUCUUGAUUCACUGCGGCAGUUAGAGGUCGCUUGCACGAGAAAUCAUCGCAAGUCCAAAAUCACUGAAAAAUUGCCACCCACAGAUUCAAGGCUCAGACCUGAGCAGAGGUGCUUAGAAAAUGGGGAGUAUGACAUGUUCAGAGAAGUUGCGGCUUGAGCAGAGACAGCGGCAGGUAGACAAUAUGGUGCCUGUUUAGUAUCAGACUUUUAUUUUGUGAUGCUGGGAGCAAAGACUUUGGAUGUAUGUUCCUCCCAACUGGUUGCUUCAAAUUUUUUUGGCUCGUAAGAUGCAAGAGAGUGGGUGGUCUUACACAGACUUGGGUAGAACUCAACUCCAAAAGCUAGCUAUUGAGGUGAGGAUGCAGUAUUCUUAACAUUACUUUAGUACUCAUGCAAUUCGAUUCAGGUGGAAACUCAGGUGCUUUGCAAAGGAGAAAGGAAAAGAUACCUACCGCAUUAUCAGUGGUUAUUGGGAGGCUAGACAGAAGGGAAGUUGGGAUUUUUGUGCUGAUAUCUUCUGUUAUUUUCGUUUCAAUCAGAUAUUGGACAGAGUACGCCCAAAUCAUUUUCUCUACAUUUCUCUCUUCUUUCUUUCAUAUAUUUUUGUCAACAGAUUAGAUAGGCUGCCAAGGAUUGCUGAUAUGAGCCAUUUAGGUUGGUGUAACAUGCAUGUCAGUAUCUAGCGGAGGUGUCA
Molecule: non-coding RNA, 1720 nt
Organism: Camellia sinensis
Lineage: Eukaryota; Viridiplantae; Streptophyta; Magnoliopsida; Ericales; Theaceae
Source: RefSeq, a predicted model, not a curated record